RNAcentral lists this long non-coding RNA (5436 nucleotides) under Malus domestica (apple). RNAcentral's name for it is "long non-coding RNA (MDOM_LNC008761)". The record is from RNAcentral. Lineage: Eukaryota; Viridiplantae; Streptophyta; Magnoliopsida; Rosales; Rosaceae.
UAUAAUGAAAACUAAAGUUAAAAAUCCAAAAAACUUCGUUGAAUUGUUUUCACUUUUGGGAGAUUCUGUUUUCGUUCAUUCUUUAUUUCUUUCCCUCUCUCCCAUCACCCUCCUUCAUCUCUCAUUUCUCAUAUACUUUUCCCCCAUAUACUUUUCUCACAGAUAUCUCAAUACAAAAUGUAAAAAUGAAAUAGUUAUCAAACGGCCUUCAAUCUCUUCGAAGAGCACCUUUUUGCAGAUGAAUGUGUUGAGAGUUGUCCCACAUUGGUGAGACGAGGUUUGCUAUGUGCUUAUAUGGUCUUGGGCUACUCCCCAUAUUGCCAAUUGGUUUUAUGGUGGAAUCCCAAUUUCAUCAUGGUAUCAAAGCGGGUUGUCCUCAUGUGAAGCCAAACAGCCACACAUGCUCCACGUCACCCAGUUGUUGUCCACGUGUAGACUUGAAAAUCCGCCACACGUGCGGGGGCGUGUUAAGAGUUAUCCCACAUCGGUGAGGGACAAUGUUUGAUAUGUGCUUAUAUGGUCUUGAGCUACUCCCCAUAUUGUCAAUUGGUUUUAUGGUAGAAUUCCAAUUUCAUCGUAAUGUUGUGUAUGAAGCACAUAUUCAAAUGAGCCUAAAUGUUUUGAACACGAGGGGCCAAAGUGUGUAAGUUUUUAAAAAAACUGAAUUCUAAGAGAAGAUGUUAUUCGGUUAAUUUCACCAACUAAUUGUCCUAUCUUCUGAAUUUCAUGUUUCUCCCUUCAAUCUUUCUUUUAGAAUUCAAUUCGUGGAGUUUGAAGAUGUUAUUCGGUUAAAACCAAAACCAAAAAUAUGUUAAUUGAAUUGUUUUCACUUUAGAGAUUCUAUUUUCGUUUAUUCUUUAUUUUUUUUACCUCUCCCAUCACCCUCCUUCAUCCCUCCUUUCUCCUAUAUACAUUCUUCCAUAUCUCAAACACAAAAUGUAAAAACAAAAUGGUUAUGAAACGGCCUUCAAUCUCUUUAAAGAGCACCUUUUUGCAGAUGAAUAUUGUGUAUGAUGCAUUUAUAAAUAAGCCUGAAUGUUUUGAACACGAGGGGCCAAAGUGUGUAAGUUUAAAAAAAAAAAAACUAAUCUCUAAGAGAAGAUGUCGCUCGUUAGUUUAAUUGUCCUAUCUUCUGAAUUUCAUGUUUCUACCUUCAAUCUUUCGUUUAGAAUUUGUUUAGUGUGUGAAUAUAAGGAGAGUAAAAAAAUAGGACUUGAGCAUGAAAUAUUAGCACUGUAACCUCCAAUUCUGAACCAUGGUCAAAUGAUCACCAGAGAUCCCCAACUCAAGCGAGUCAAAUUCCUUCCACAAAUGUUUUUUUCUCUUCAUUUCGUUUUUGCCUUAACUUCAAAUAUUAAAAAAUAAACCACCCUUUAUACCAUGCAUAAAAUUUUCCCAACUUUUUAGAACCACUGAUUGAUUCUAAUUUGUAGGAAAUUGUUACUAAUCCACACGUUAUAAGCAUAAACAAGUAAAACACAAAAAGAAGAAAUCUUCCCUAAAAAUCGUACCCUUGACUAGUACGGGCACUCAUCAACAUUAUGAUCAAGCUGUUCUUAAGUGUUGAAGUUGCCGGAAGUGCAUCUGGGCUGUUGCGUUACUUGGAUCAGAAGCAACAACAGCAUUUCGAUCCUCAGCUUCUUUCUUCGCAUUGUCUCCAGAAAUCGAAAGCGCGUCUUGCAGAGACGAGAAAAAGAGGCGAACAAGAGUGCCAACAAGGGGAAUAGAGGAGCAUAUAAUUGCAGCUUGUCUGAUGUUCAUAGCUUAGAUGGUAAAGAGUUAAAGAACAGCUUAACUUGGAAAUUAUGCGGUAUCAUGUUUUGCUAAAUUUAUAGCGGAGAGUGCAGUGAAAAGUUGCGUUCUUUUUAUGUCAAUUUUAACGACAGACGUGACAAGCAAGUGACAAACGUGAUGAGCAAGUUGGGAGAAUUCACGUGGUAAGCAAGUUGGGAGAAUUCUAUGUAAUUUGAAAUUUCAAGCAACCCAAAUGGACCCUUAGUAGAAAAAGAAAUAAAGAAUGCACUAAUAGAGUAUAUAUUCUUCUUAGUGACGCUCACAGCUGUCAAGCAAUAAUAGGUAGUUUCAAUUGAUAAUGAUGUUUCAAUUGAUAAUGAUGCAAUAAUUUGAAAAAUAAUCGUUUUGGCCAAUUUCUAUUAACUUUUUUUGUACGUCAUUGAUUGUUUCAGAGAAAUUACAAGUUGAUUUUAGUGACUUUUUUGCUUGCAAAGAAUAUUUAAAGAAAGACUUGAACUCGGGAACUCGGUUGGGAGAGAUUCCCUUAAAAUCGGUGAUAUUAUGCCAUGAAUGCCGUGACUAACAGACAGAUGAUUACUAUUUGAAAAUAUUAGUCAUCUAUGACAUGUGCUGACAUUGGAACAAUAUAGCGGGUUCAAGAGACCUUCUAUCCUCAAUUAGAGGAAUAAAUUAUCUUAACCAACUGAGCUAUAAAUUCCGUGCAUCCAUCACCUGAGUUGUUCUCUCUCAUCGUGUACACUAGUAGUGGUACAGAAUCAUAUGUUAUUUUAGUGACAUAAAAUGCUUUAGUUUGUGGGAUAACAUCUUACAAGUUUACAACACACGUGACUGUCACAUGAUGAGUGUCGUAGAUUUCAGCAAUAUAUUUCCAGUGACAUGUGAGAAUCUCUCGGCUGAUGUGGUUGGGUUCAUUUGUUGGAGGACAACCAACCAUACCACUACAUUUUCGUACCAAACCAACCAGAUCAUGGAUCCAACAGUCGCUUGGAUUCUUAAAAUUCAGAAUUCACCUAGUAACGAAAGAAUCAAAUGCUGUCUUUGUACUUCACUUUUUCGUUCUCUGUUGGAAAUUAACCCAAAAACGAUGCGAUUUAGUCGUUAUGCUUACACCUAAUGCAGAUGUUUUACAAAAUGAUACAAGGACUAUACAAAAUAAAACUAUGGAAUGACCAAAAUGUUUAUGUAAAAUGGGUCUCACUGACCAAAUACAGCUUCUGACCAUCAUUUAUCAAAUCCACAUCAAGAAUUUACCUGCAUCUUCUUUUAAUAUUAUACCGGAGCCACUCGAUGAAAACUCCAGUUGCUCUCCCGCUGUUCUGAUGAGCUCUCCAAUGGUACUCGGGACACACAACAGAAAUUUCAUUUCAACUUAUCAUGUUAAAUGUAAGUACAAGGUGUCAUGUAUAGGAAUGUUCAUUACGCCAUUCGCAAGCGAUGUUAACCUAUUUUCUUUUGCUUCUUUUUCAUCUAGAGAUAAAACAUGACAAAAUAACUUACUAGAAAAAUCAAUUAUUCAGUAAUCUGAUUUCCUCAUUUGGCUACAACGGAGACUUUGUUGGAGAUAUUUCCUAUCCAUGAACCUCAACUUUUUGCUUUUGUUUGUUCGAGUAACAAAAGCUGAUGGAGAUAUAUCCUGUUCCAAAUUCAUGACCUAUAUAAUAUCGGUGCAGACAUAACUUGUUAUUGUUUGUUCGAGUAACCAGGAUCGCAGAAUGAAUGCAUCCCGAAAAUCUUUGGCCUUUGCUUCUUCUUCUUGCAAGCUUCAAGGAUUGGGAUUGACUUGGUGAUCACUUCAAGUUUCAAGCUUCCAGCUUUAGCUCUCCCUCUCUCUCUUUCUCUAACUCUCUCUUUCUCUCUAUUCCAAGACUCUGCGUUCUUGAAAAAUCAAUAAUGACCUGAAGAAGUUUGUUAUAGAGUGGGCGUUUGUCUGUUACAACUUUCAGGCUAUGCCUUCUGAGCGCUCGGGUAUACAAUUUUCCCGCUUGAAAUGGAGUGUGAGCAGAUUUACGAUAAUGCGCCUCCUGCUGAGAAAUAAUUACAAGUUUUACCAGCCAAUUCUUUCCCUUGAGGCUUGUGUGAAGUGAUCAUGCGAUAUGGGUAUUUUAGACAUCAUCUACAUGAGGGUAUCAAGUAUGAACAGAUUCUUUUUGGGCACUCACUUUGGGAAAUACCCAUGUUUCUUAGGAAAUGAACAUUUGUUUUAUCGUUAAAAUUAACAUGGUUUUUAAGUUGUCACUUAAUAUUACGGUUUAGUAGUAUUCUUCUUCAUUUGUGGCGAGAUAUCUAAAGUUCAAAUAUCAGAAAUGACAAGUCCACAAGCUUCUAUAUGCACAAAAAAGUUCAUUACAAAUUCAUUGUUCAAAUUUUGUUUUAUUAAACUGUUGAUAUUUUUAUCUUGUAAAGUGUUCUUUAUUUUGUUUUCAAUAAAAUUGUUCUCUCUGAUUGUUGUGCCGCCAACAUUCAUAAAAGACAUUAAUCGAUUUGAAACACAAAGGAGUAAAAGGAGUAAACGUACAUUUUUCGCAAAUCAUAGUGACGAUUGUGAUAAAAAUCCCUAUUUGGCACCAAAACAAUCAAUUGGUCUUCACAAAACCACUUAAGCAUUAUCUUUUUAUUUCAUGCAUAAUGAAGAGUGGAUGAAGGAUGAUGAGCAAAGAUGUAUUAGAAAUGUAAAGGGAAAGGCACACAUAAUGAGAACUAAAAUUAAAAAACAAAAAUCUUUGUUGAACUGUUUUCACUUUCGAGAUUCUUCUUUCGUUCAUUCUUUAUUUCAAUUUCCCUCUCUCCCAUCACCCUCCUUCAUCUCUCCUUUUUCUCAUAUACUUUUCUCAUAUAUAUCUCAACACAAAAUGUAAAAACAAAAUAGUUAUGAAACGGUCUUCAAUCUCUUUGAAGGCACCUUUUUGCAGAUGAAUGGUGUGUACGAAGCACAUAUACAAAUGAGCCUGAAUAUUUUGAACGCGAGGGGCCAAAGUGUGUAAAUUUAAAAAAAAAAGAUUAAUUGUUCUAUCUUCUGAAUUUCAUGUUUCUGCCUUCAAUCUUUCUUUUAGAAUUCUAUUCACAUAGUGCGAAUAUAAGGUGGGUGGGCAAACAAGAAUCUAGCAUAAAUUAUAUAUUAGCACUGUAACCUCCAAUUCUGAACCAUGGUCUCAAAUGAUCACCAAAGAUCCCCCAACUCGAGCGAGUCAAAUUCCUUCUACAUGUUUUUUUUCUCUUCAUUUCGUUUUUGCCUUAACUUUGGAUAUUAACAAAAAAACCACCCUUCAAACCAUGCUUAAAAAUUUCCCAGCUUUUUAAAACCACAGAUUGAUUCUAAUUUGUAGGAAAUUGUUACUAAUCCACGCGUUAUAAGCAAGAACAAGUAAAAUACAAAAAGAAGAGUUCUCCCUUAUCAUACCCUUGAUUAAUAUGGGCACUCAACAACAUUAUGAUCAAGCAGUUCUUAAGUGCUGAAGUUGCCGGAAAUGCAUCUGGGCUGUUGCGUUACUUGGAUCAGAAGCAACAUCGACAUUUUGAUCCUCGGCUUCAUUCUUCUCCUUGUCUCCAGAAAUCGAAAGCGCCUCUUGCAGAGACGAGAAGCAGAGGCGAAAAAGAGUGCCCACAAGGGGAAGAGAGGAGCAUACAAUUGCAGCUUGUCUGAUUUUCAUAGCUUAGUAGAUAGUUAAUAAACAGUUGCUCGAC